UCAGAAGCCUCAAGAGCGGGAGGCUUGGGAAGAGAGUGAGCAUGCGCAUCGGCUUGCCUCGGUUUCCCUGCACGCUCAGGUGAUCCCAACAUUUGUUCCGCCACUGGUCCAGGGAUGGAGAUGCCUUGGAUUUCCAAGAGGCUGCAAUGAUGAGCUGCACCGUGGCGAUCAAAGUGGCAGCUAGUUCAGAGAUAUGAACUUCUCUGUCAUCUAUGAACCCCGUAUAACUAUGACUGCCUUCAUGGCGUCCCACUGGAUCGCCGGGUCUACCUCUGAGUCCCUGUGUAUCUCCAGGAAUUGAUCAAUGUC
Long non-coding RNA from Gekko japonicus, 309 nucleotides. RefSeq lists it as uncharacterized. NCBI's taxonomy places the organism in Eukaryota, Metazoa, Chordata, Lepidosauria, Squamata, Gekkonidae. The record is from RefSeq and is a predicted model, not a curated record. The transcript is spliced from 3 exons.